RNAcentral lists this unclassified non-coding RNA (304 nucleotides) under uncultured fungus. RNAcentral's name for it is "partial contains small subunit ribosomal RNA, internal transcribed spacer 1, and 5.8S ribosomal RNA". The stretch from base 1 to 73 matches the Rfam family "Eukaryotic small subunit ribosomal RNA", at positions 1759 to 1831 of the family's 1831-position model. Lineage: Eukaryota; Fungi. The record is from RNAcentral.
UCAAACUUGGUCAUUUAGAGGAAGUAAAAGUCGUAACAAGGUCUCCGUUGGUGAACCAGCGGAGGGAUCAUUAGAGAGUAUAAAAACUCCCAACCCAUGUGAACCUACCUCUCGUUGCCUCGGCGGAGAGAGGGCUACCCGUCAAGGGCCACCCGGGUCUCGCUACCCGGAAGGCCUGGGUGUCCUCCCGCCGCCGCGGGCCCACGAAACUCUGUUUUACUUUGGAACUCUGAAUGAAAAACAAAUAUACUUUAAAACUUUCAACAACGGAUCUCUUGGUUCUGGCAUCGAUGAAGAACGCAGC